GCGGGCGUGGCGGAAUGGUAGACGCAGCGGAUUCAAAAUCCGCCGUUGGUGACAACAUGCCGGUUCGAGUCCGGCCGCCCGUACCA
RNAcentral lists this transfer RNA (86 nucleotides) under Novosphingobium sp. SCN 66-18. RNAcentral describes it as "tRNA-Leu". It matches the Rfam family "tRNA". From Rfam's summary of the family: Transfer RNA (tRNA) molecules are approximately 80 nucleotides in length. The record is from RNAcentral. RNAcentral also lists the same sequence under 3 other names. Lineage: Bacteria; Pseudomonadati; Pseudomonadota; Alphaproteobacteria; Sphingomonadales; Sphingomonadaceae.